This 458-nucleotide ribosomal RNA is filed under the name uncultured bacterium. RNAcentral describes it as "SSU rRNA". It matches the Rfam family "Bacterial small subunit ribosomal RNA", at positions 26 to 518 of the family's 1533-position model. The record is from RNAcentral.
AGAGCGAACGCUGGCGGCAGGCCUAAUACAUGCAAGUCGAACGGACCCUUCGGGGUUAGUGGCGGACGGGUGAGUAACACGUGGGAACGUGCCCUUUGGUUCGGAACAACUCAGGGAAACUUGAGCUAAUACCGAAUGUGCCCCCAUCCUUAAACAAGAUGGGUGGGAAAGAUUUAUCGCCAUUGGAGCGGCCCGCGUCUGAUUAGCUAGUUGGUGAGGUAAAGGCUCACCAAGGCGACGAUCAGUAGCUGGUCUGAGAGGAUGAUCAGCCACACUGGGACUGAGACACGGCCCAGACUCCUACGGGAGGCAGCAGUAGGGAAUCUUGCGCAAUGGGCAAAGCCUGACGCAGCCAUGCCGCGUGAAUGAUGAAGGUCUUAGGAUUGUAAAAUUCUUUCAGCGGGGACGAUAAUGACGGUACCGCAGAAGACGCCCGGCUAACUCGCGCCAGCAGCCGC